Molecule: ribosomal RNA, 486 nt
Filed under: uncultured Leadbetterella sp.
Lineage: Bacteria; Pseudomonadati; Bacteroidota; Cytophagia; Cytophagales; Leadbetterellaceae
Description: bacterial SSU rRNA
Rfam family: Bacterial small subunit ribosomal RNA
Source: RNAcentral
AGAGUUUGAUCAUGGCUCAGGAUGAACGCUAGCGGCAGGCUUAAUACAUGCAAGUCGAGGGGCAGCAGACCGCUUCGGUGGUGCUGGCGACCGGCAAACGGGUGCGUAACACGUAUGCAACCUACCUCUAUCAAGGGGAUACCCCCGGGAAACUGGGAUUAAUACCCUAUAAUAUUACGUAACUGCAUGAUUAUGUAAUUAAAGCUCAGGCAGAUAGAGAUGGGCGUGCGUCUGAUUAGGUAGUUGGUAGGGUAAUGGCCUACCAAGCCGACGAUCAGUAGCUGAUGUGAGAGCAUGAUCAGCCACACGGGCACUGAGACACGGGCCCGACUCCUACGGGAGGCAGCAGUAGGGAAUAUUGGGCAAUGGAGGCAACUCUGACCCAGCCAUGCCGCGUGAAGGAUGAAUGUCCUUUGGAUUGUAAACUUCUUUUAUAAGGGAAGAAACCUGCGGAUUUAUCUGCAGUGACGGUACCUACGAAUAGAC